This is a long non-coding RNA of Phacochoerus africanus (Common warthog), 364 nucleotides long. RefSeq lists it as uncharacterized. Lineage: Eukaryota; Metazoa; Chordata; Mammalia; Artiodactyla; Suidae. The transcript is spliced from 2 exons. The record is from RefSeq and is a predicted model, not a curated record.
UUGGAGGCCAGGGAGGCUUAGGCCCCCAGCAAAGUUCAGGGAGACCCCCAGCUUCCCCAGAGACUCCAUCUCCCCUCCAGACCUGCAUCCUGUGCCCUCCACCCUUCUUCUUAGGGGGUCACUGGAAUGAAUCCAGGACAAGGUGAAAGGGGAGCAAAGACGCUCCAGAACCCACGCCCAUGGGAUCUGGAGAGAGGAGACCACGUAUUCAGGCACAGCAGCGGGCAGUGGGGUCAAACCUAAGGAAGCACUUCCUGGCUGACGAGCUGUGUGACCUUAAGCAGGUCGCCAGCCUUCUCUGAGUCUUUUCUACGAUAUGAACCACCUCAUGAGGAUGAAACGAAAUAAAAGUUUCUCUCUUCCA